UUACCAAAUCAUAUGGUACGUCAAUCUUCGCGAGAAAAUGAGCUUCAAACACUAAUAAUGAAAGCAUCCUUUUACAAUAUUUGCAUUAUUACUUUUGCCAUCAUUUAUGUUGUUUUUGUUAAGUGCAUCCUGCUAUAGAUCAUGGUAUCCUUUAGUUUCAAAAAUAUGCAAAAAAAAUUUUUAAAUAACUACGCCCAAUUACAUAUAACUUAAAGCUUCAUCCAACUCUACCAGAUCAUUCAUAAUAGUGGAUACUGGAACACCACAUUUAUGAGCCAUCUCAUGUCGAUGAGCAACUGACAUAUAUGUAAAGUAAUCGAUGAGCAUACCAUCGAGAAUUCGUCGAGUUGGAUUAGUCAAGUUGGAUGGGGAGGUGAUGAGACGAUAGGACUUGGGAUUUAGGCCGCCUAUCGUAUUAACACGGUUGGCAAGGUAGUUCUGGAUAAUGUUCAAACGACGAUACACCCGAUCAGAAAUCGGAACCAGCAUUUGAAGUCCACCAUCACUAUUUACCAUUACACAAGAGAAGUCAUCUCCCGUAUCAUAACCAUACUCGGCAUUUUGAUGCUUUUUUUCUUUUGGCAAUAUCGUCAUAGCAGUAAUUACAUUUCCUAUAUGGAAAUCUCCACGUGUUACAAGUCUUUCACCAGAAUGAGAUUCGGGAUUUUCAGGAUCAUAUGCAAGUAAUCUUAAGUUUCCAGAUGUAUCGGCCACUACAAAGUAUAAAUUCUCACCUUGCACAAGAAAAUCUGCAGCAGAUACGUUGAGCGCUUCUUGACCUUUAGAAAAUAAAGUCAUUCUGUAUGGCUCUUCGGCAAAACCGACAAACGUUACGUUUUGUCGGACAUCGCCAAACAAUAACAAAUUUCGCAAACAUUUAGCAGACAAUGUAUAACUCCCAAGGUCAAUAAAAGAAACGCCAACCAAAUGGUCUUCGUCUUCCAAAGCACGUACAAUUACUUUUUGGCCUUGACCACUCAACAAAUACCCAUCAACUUCGCAUACCACCGCGACUGUACCCUUAAUUUCCUCUCUAGUCACUAAUUUCAAUUUAUGACGAGUUUCUGGUCGCCCGGGUUGAGGCACGACAUCAAUAAUUUCAAAUAAAUAUGUAGAUCCGCGAACAGCAAUAUCUUCACCUUUGGUGAUAGAGGUCCCUACAGCGAUAUAUGGCUUCCUCAGUUUAGUUGUUUCAGAAACUUCAAGGUUAACCAAAGCAACCGAUAAGGGAAUCUCAAAUUGUUGAAAUUCAUAACUAUCUAUAACAGUCCACGUUAAGGGGGAAACAAGGUCAAGCGAACCGGUGUUGGCCAUUGGAAGAUAAUCAUUGUCAUCAGUAAUCGCAUAAGGCUCGUUUCCAUCCUCGUCAGUUACUUUAAACUCAAUCGGUACGGCACUUCCAACAGCAUAAACCAUUUUUGUAGGAUGAUAGGCUAUUCCAUUGAUUUGUUUUCCUAAAGAAACUUUCUUGUAAGGCCAUUUAUUGUCGUAUUCAAAAUCUUCUUGAAAUUUGCAAAUGCGAAUAAAUGAGUUUUCAUCUACAUAUAUAUAACCCUGUGGCGCAUGGUGUGCAUGAAAAGGUGCAACAGAUAAAAUUGGUAUGUUGGAGGAUAUAGGAAAGAACUUGGCAUUUGAGUGAAGAGUACUCAAAAUUAAAAAGGGUUUCCGCCCAGUUACAAAAACUGCGGAGUGAUUGCCUACUACUUCUAAAGCUGUCAUUUUUAAAUGAUCAACAGAGCUUGAAGCCUUUUUCUCCAUUGUAGAUUCUGCAUCUCUGGGAGUCCCAACAUUUGCUUGGAAUUCCCUUGUCAUUGUUUCUUGUGGUACUUUAGCAAAAGCUAACAAAUUUUUAUGCUUAUCAGUGUUAGAAUAUAAGAAUGCUUUGUAGACUGUAAUCUCGUUUAGUCUUGACCUGAGAAAUAAAUGUGGCUCCUUGAAAUCAUCACCUAAA
Molecule: non-coding RNA, 1951 nt
Organism: Schizosaccharomyces pombe (fission yeast)
Lineage: Eukaryota; Fungi; Ascomycota; Schizosaccharomycetes; Schizosaccharomycetales; Schizosaccharomycetaceae
Source: the annotation of a GenBank genome assembly